GACGAACGCUGGCGGCGUGCUUAACACAUGCAAGUCGAACGGUUAGGCCCUGCUUUUGUGUUGUGCUCGAGUGGCGAAAGGGGGAGUAACACGUGAGUAACCUGCCCUUUACUUUGGGAUAACUUCAGGAAAAUGGGUCUAAUACCGGAUAUGAGCUCCUGCUGCAUUGUGUGGGUUGGAAAGUUUCGGCGGUUGGCGAUGGACUCGCGGCUUAUCAGCUUGUCGGUGGGGUAGUGGCUUACCAAGGCUUUGACGGGUAGCCGGCAUGGGAGGGUGAACGGGCCCAAUGGGACUGAGAUACGGCCCAGACUCCUACGGGAGGCAGCAGUGGGGAAUAUUGCACAAUGGGCGGAAGCCUGAUGCAGCAACGCCGCGUGCGGGAUGACGGCCUUCGGGUUGUAAACCGCUUUCGCCUGUGACGAAGCGUGAGUGACGGUAAUGGGUAAAGAAGCACCGGCUAACUACGUG
RNAcentral lists this ribosomal RNA (468 nucleotides) under uncultured bacterium. RNAcentral's name for it is "partial 16S ribosomal RNA". It matches the Rfam family "Bacterial small subunit ribosomal RNA", at positions 28 to 507 of the family's 1533-position model. The record is from RNAcentral.